Molecule: ribosomal RNA, 484 nt
Filed under: uncultured bacterium
Lineage: Bacteria
Description: partial 16S ribosomal RNA
Rfam family: Bacterial small subunit ribosomal RNA
Source: RNAcentral
GACGAACGCUGGCGGCGUGCUUAACACAUGCAAGUCGAACGAUGAAGCCGGAGCUUGCUCUGGUGAAUUAGUGGCGAACGGGUGAGUAACACGUGAGUAACCUGCCCUUGACUCUGGGAUAACUGCUAGAAAUGGUAGCUAAUACCGGAUACGACCCUCGGAGGCAUCUCCAGGGGGUGGAAAGAAUUUCGGUCAAGGAUGGACUCGCGGCCUAUCAGCUAGUUGGUGAGGUAAUGGCUCACCAAGGCGACGACGGGUAGCCGGCCUGAGAGGGUGACCGGCCACACUGGGACUGAGACACGGCCCAGACUCCUACGGGAGGCAGCAGUGGGGAAUAUUGCACAAUGGGCGCAAGCCUGAUGCAGCAACGCCGCGUGAGGGAUGACGGACUUCGGGUUGUAAACCUCUUUUAGUAGGGAAGAAGCGAAAGUGACGGUACCUGCAGAAAAAGCACCGGCUAACUACGUGCCAGCCGCCGCCGUAA